UACGUAGGUGGCAAGCGUUGUCCGGAAUUAUUGGGCGUAAAGCGCGCGCAGGUGGUUCCUUAAGUCUGAUGUGAAAGCCCACGGCUCAACCGUGGAGGGUCAUUGGAAACUGGGGAACUUGAGUGCAGAAGAGGUUAACGGAACUCCAUGUGGAGCGGUAAAAUGCGUAGAUAUAUGGAAGAACAUCAAUAACGGCGAAGGCAGUUAACUAUUCUGUUACUGACAUUGAGGCACGAAAGCGUGGGGAGCAAAACGG
Molecule: ribosomal RNA, 256 nt
Filed under: uncultured bacterium
Lineage: Bacteria
Description: partial 16S ribosomal RNA
Rfam family: Bacterial small subunit ribosomal RNA
Source: RNAcentral